GCUUGGCCCUAAAUCUAGAUGUUCCCCCUACCAAAACAUCCGCCCGAGAACUACGAGCACAAACGCUUAAAACUCUAAGGACUUGGCGGUGCUCCAAACCCACCUAGAGGAGCCUGUUCUGUAAUCGAUAACCCACGAUACACUCAACCCCUCCUUGCCCAAAGCAGCCUACAUACCGCCGUCCCCAGCUCACCUUCUCUGAGAGCCCAACAGUGAGCACAACAACGCCCCCGCUAAUAAGACAGGUCAAGGUAUAGCCUAUGGAGUGGAAGAAAUGGGCUACAUUUUCUAAAAUAGAAAACCGACGAAAAGGGGCUUGAAACAACCCCUAGAAGGAGGAUUUAGCAGUAAAGGGGGAUAAGAAUGCCCCCUUAAACUUGGCCCUGGAGCACGUACAUACCGCCCGUCACCCUCUUCACAACUGCUAAGCACCCGUAAUUUAACCCAAGCCAAAAAAGUUAAAAGAUGAGGUAAGUCGUAACAAGGUAAGUGUACCGGAAGGUGCACUUAGCACCAAGGCGUAGCUAUAAUACCA
RNAcentral lists this ribosomal RNA (535 nucleotides) under Gallirallus australis greyi. RNAcentral's name for it is "partial 12S ribosomal RNA". It matches the Rfam family "Bacterial small subunit ribosomal RNA", at positions 794 to 1533 of the family's 1533-position model. The record is from RNAcentral. Lineage: Eukaryota; Metazoa; Chordata; Aves; Gruiformes; Rallidae.